Molecule: ribosomal RNA, 347 nt
Filed under: Acanthamoeba genotype T4
Lineage: Eukaryota; Discosea; Longamoebia; Acanthamoebidae
Description: SSU rRNA
Rfam family: Eukaryotic small subunit ribosomal RNA (bases 1-302)
Source: RNAcentral
GACCCUGUCCUCCUAUUUUCAGUUGGUUUUGGCAGCGCGAGGACUAGGGUAAUGAUUAAUAGGGAUAGUUGGGGGCAUUAAUAUUUAAUUGUCAGAGGUGAAAUUCUUGGAUUUAUGAAAGAUUAACUUCUGCGAAAGCAUCUGCCAAGGAUGUUUUCAUUAAUCAAGAACGAAAGUUAGGGGAUCGAAGACGAUCAGAUACCGUCGUAGUCUUAACCAUAAACGAUGCCGACCAGCGAUUAGGAGACGUUGAAUACAAAACACCACCAUCGGCGCGGUCGUCCUUGGCGUGUCUCGGCUUCACGGCCGGGGCGCGCGAGGGCGGUUUAUCCCGGUGGCACCGGUGA